CCCUUAGAUGUUCUGGGCCGCACGCGCGCUACACUGAUGCAUUCAACGAGUGUACCUUGGCCGAGAGGCCUGGGCAAUCUUUUGAACGUGCAUCGUGAUAGGGAUAGAUUAUUGCAAUUAUUAAUCUUGAACGAGGAAUUCCUAGUAAACGCAGAUCAUCAAUCUGCAUUGAUUACGUCCCUGCCCUUUGUACACACCGCCCGUCGCUCCUACCGAUUGGGUGUGCUGGUGAAAUGUUCGGAUCGGCCGUUUGUCGCGGUUUCCGCGUCAUGUGGCUGAGAAGUUCAUUAAACCCUCCCACCUAGAGGAAGGAGAAGUCGUAACA
This 325-nucleotide ribosomal RNA is filed under the name uncultured eukaryote. RNAcentral's name for it is "partial 18S ribosomal RNA". It matches the Rfam family "Eukaryotic small subunit ribosomal RNA", at positions 1470 to 1796 of the family's 1831-position model. The record is from RNAcentral.